CCCAAAUUUUGUUCUCUUUCUCAAAAUUAGGGUUUCACUCUAUACCAUCUGUUGCGCCUCUCCCCGAUCUCUCCUUCUCCAUCUCUAGCUUUUGCUUACCUUUCGUCUAGGGUUUGUUGUAGUUGGAGCUGGUCGGAGUUCACUGAAUCGAUGGUUUGUAGGUGAUAAACCAGUUAACAAAGUAAUCUGUACAAAUCAGGAGCAAAUCAAGUUGCCGCUUGAAUUGCUUUAGUUUACUGGUUUGACUGGUGCUUGAGGUAAAAAAAAAUUAGGCAUACACAA
Long non-coding RNA from Dioscorea cayenensis subsp. rotundata (Guinea yam), 282 nucleotides. RefSeq lists it as uncharacterized. NCBI's taxonomy places the organism in Eukaryota, Viridiplantae, Streptophyta, Magnoliopsida, Dioscoreales, Dioscoreaceae. The record is from RefSeq and is a predicted model, not a curated record. The transcript is spliced from 2 exons.